GUGGGGAAUUUUGGACAAUGGGCGCAAGCCUGAUCCAGCAAUGCCGCGUGCAGGAAGAAGGCCUUCGGGUUGUAAACUGCUUUUGUACGGAACGAAACGGUCCUGGUUAAUACCUGGGGCUAAUGACGGUACCGUAAGAAUAAGCACCGGCUAACUACGUGCCAGCAGCCGCGGUAAUACGUAGGGUGCGAGCGUUAAUCGGAAUUACUGGGCGUAAAGUGUGCGCAGGCGGUGCUGUAAGACAGGCGUGAAAUCCCCGGGCUCAACCUGGGAAUUGCGCUUGUGACUGCAGUGCUGGAGUACGGCAGAGGGGGAUGGAAUUCCGCGUGUAGCAGUGAAAUGCGUAGAUAUGCGGAGGAACACCGAUGGCGAAGGCAGUCCCCUGGGCCUGUACUGACGCUCAUGCAAGAAAGCGUGGGGAGCAAACAGGAUUAGAUACCCUAGUAGUCC
Molecule: ribosomal RNA, 450 nt
Filed under: uncultured bacterium
Lineage: Bacteria
Description: partial 16S ribosomal RNA
Rfam family: Bacterial small subunit ribosomal RNA
Source: RNAcentral